RNAcentral lists this ribosomal RNA (1530 nucleotides) under Escherichia coli H730. RNAcentral describes it as "bacterial SSU rRNA". It matches the Rfam family "Bacterial small subunit ribosomal RNA". The record is from RNAcentral. Lineage: Bacteria; Pseudomonadati; Pseudomonadota; Gammaproteobacteria; Enterobacterales; Enterobacteriaceae. RNAcentral also lists the same sequence under 1 other name.
AGAGUUUGAUCAUGGCUCAGAUUGAACGCUGGCGGCAGGCCUAACACAUGCAAGUCGAACGGUAACAGGAAGCAGCUUGCUGCUUCGCUGACGAGUGGCGGACGGGUGAGUAAUGUCUGGGAAACUGCCUGAUGGAGGGGGAUAACUACUGGAAACGGUAGCUAAUACCGCAUAAUGUCGCAAGACCAAAGAGGGGGACCUUCGGGCCUCUUGCCAUCGGAUGUGCCCAGAUGGGAUUAGCUUGUUGGUGGGGUAACGGCUCACCAAGGCGACGAUCCCUAGCUGGUCUGAGAGGAUGACCAGCCACACUGGAACUGAGACACGGUCCAGACUCCUACGGGAGGCAGCAGUGGGGAAUAUUGCACAAUGGGCGCAAGCCUGAUGCAGCCAUGCCGCGUGUAUGAAGAAGGCCUUCGGGUUGUAAAGUACUUUCAGCGGGGAGGAAGGGAGUAAAGUUAAUACCUUUGCUCAUUGACGUUACCCGCAGAAGAAGCACCGGCUAACUCCGUGCCAGCAGCCGCGGUAAUACGGAGGGUGCAAGCGUUAAUCGGAAUUACUGGGCGUAAAGCGCACGCAGGCGGUUUGUUAAGUCAGAUGUGAAAUCCCCGGGCUCAACCUGGGAACUGCAUCUGAUACUGGCAAGCUUGAGUCUCGUAGAGGGGGGUAGAAUUCCAGGUGUAGCGGUGAAAUGCGUAGAGAUCUGGAGGAAUACCGGUGGCGAAGGCGGCCCCCUGGACGAAGACUGACGCUCAGGUGCGAAAGCGUGGGGAGCAAACAGGAUUAGAUACCCUGGUAGUCCACGCCGUAAACGAUGUCGACUUGGAGGUUGUGCCCUUGAGGCGUGGCUUCCGGAGCUAACGCGUUAAGUCGACCGCCUGGGGAGUACGGCCGCAAGGUUAAAACUCAAAUGAAUUGACGGGGGCCCGCACAAGCGGUGGAGCAUGUGGUUUAAUUCGAUGCAACGCGAAGAACCUUACCUGGUCUUGACAUCCACAGAACUUUCCAGAGAUGAAAAGGUGCCUUCGGGAACCGUGAGACAGGUGCUGCAUGGCUGUCGUCAGCUCGUGUUGUGAAAUGUUGGGUUAAGUCCCGCAACGAGCGCAACCCUUAUCCUUUGUUGCCAGCGGUCCGGCCGGGAACUCAAAGGAGACUGCCAGUGAUAAACUGGAGGAAGGUGGGGAUGACGUCAAGUCAUCAUGGCCCUUACGACCAGGGCUACACACGUGCUACAAUGGCGCAUACAAAGAGAAGCGACCUCGCGAGAGCAAGCGGACCUCAUAAAGUGCGUCGUAGUCCGGAUUGGAGUCUGCAACUCGACUCCAUGAAGUCGGAAUCGCUAGUAAUCGUGGAUCAGAAUGCCACGGUGAAUACGUUCCCGGGCCUUGUACACACCGCCCGUCACACCAUGGGAGUGGGUUGCAAAAGAAGUAGGUAGCUUAACCUUCGGGAGGGCGCUUACCACUUUGUGAUUCAUGACUGGGGUGAAGUCGUAACAAGGUAACCGUAGGGGAACCUGCGGUUGGAUCACCU